RNAcentral lists this ribosomal RNA (666 nucleotides) under Brevibacterium samyangense. RNAcentral's name for it is "bacterial SSU rRNA". It matches the Rfam family "Bacterial small subunit ribosomal RNA", at positions 72 to 749 of the family's 1533-position model. The record is from RNAcentral. Lineage: Bacteria; Bacillati; Actinomycetota; Actinomycetes; Micrococcales; Brevibacteriaceae.
GCACCAGCUUGCUGGUGUGGAUGAGUGGCGAACGGGUGAGUAACACGUGAGUAACCUGCCCCUGACUUCGGGAUAAGCCCGGGAAACUGGGUCUAAUACCGGAUACGACCCCUGACCGCAUGGUCGGGGGUGGAAAGUUUUUUCGGUUGGGGAUGGGCUCGCGGCCUAUCAGCUUGUUGGUGGGGUGAUGGCCUACCAAGGCGACGACGGGUAGCCGGCCUGAGAGGGCGACCGGCCACACUGGGACUGAGACACGGCCCAGACUCCUACGGGAGGCAGCAGUGGGGAAUAUUGCACAAUGGGGGAAACCCUGAUGCAGCGACGCCGCGUGGGGGAUGACGGCCUUCGGGUUGUAAACCUCUUUCAGUAGGGAAGAAGCCUUCGGGUGACGGUACCUGCAGAAGAAGUACCGGCUAACUACGUGCCAGCAGCCGCGGUAAUACGUAGGGUACAAGCGUUGUCCGGAAUUAUUGGGCGUAAAGAGCUCGUAGGUGGUCUGUCGCGUCUGCUGUGGAAACGCAACGCUCAACGUUGCGCGUGCAGUGGGUACGGGCGGACUGGAGUGCAGUAGGGGAGUCUGGAAUUCCUGGUGUAGCGGUGAAAUGCGCAGAUAUCAGGAGGAACACCGGUGGCGAAGGCGGGACUCUGGGCUGUAACUGACGCUGA